CGUAGGUGGCAAGCGUUGUCCGGAUUUACUGGGCGUAAAGGAUGCGUAGGCGGAUUUUUAAGUGAGAUGUGAAAUACCCGGGCUUAACUUGGGUGCUGCAUUUCAAACUGGAAAUCUAGAGAGCGGGCGAGGAAAGUGGAAUUACUAGUGUAGCGGUGAAAUGCGUAGAGAUUAGGAAGAACACCAGUGGCGAAGGAGACUUUCUGGACCGUAACUGAAGAUGAGGCAUGAAAGCGUGGGUAGCAAACAGGAUUAGAUACCCUGGUAGUCCACGCCGUAAACGAUGAGUACUAGGUGUAGGAGGUAUCGACUCCUUCUGUGCCGCAGUUAACACAAUAAGUACUCCGCCUGGGAAGUACGAUCGCAAGAUUAA
RNAcentral lists this ribosomal RNA (373 nucleotides) under uncultured bacterium. RNAcentral's name for it is "bacterial SSU rRNA". It matches the Rfam family "Bacterial small subunit ribosomal RNA", at positions 526 to 897 of the family's 1533-position model. The record is from RNAcentral.